GGGGGUACGUUGCUCGGCAUAUUGGGCGUAAGGGCUCGCAGGCGGUUUCUUAAGUCUGAUGUGAAAGCCCCCGGCCCUUUGGGGAGGGUCAUUGGAAACUGGGGAACUUGAGUGCAGAAUAGGAGAGUGGAAUUCCACGUGUAGCGGUGAAAUGCGUAGAGAUGUGGAGGAACACCAGUGGCGAAGGCGACUCUCUGGUCUGUAACUGACGCUGAGGAGCGAAAGCGUGGGGAGCGAACAGGAUUAGAUACCCUGGUAGUCCACGCCGUAAACGAUGAGUGCUAAGUGUUAGGGGGUUUCCGCCCCUUAGUGCUGCAGCUAACGCAUUAAGCACUCCGCCUGGGGAGUACGGUCGCAAGACUGAAACUCAAAGGAAUUGACGGGGGCCCGCACAAGCGGUGGAGCAUGUGGUUUAAUUCGAAGCAACGCGAAGAACCUUACCAGGUCUUGACAUCCUCUGACAAUCCUAGAGAUAGGACGUCCCCUUCGGGGGCAGAGUGACAGGUGGUGCAUGGUUGUCGUCAGCUCGUGUCGUGAGAUGUUGGGUUAAGUCCCGCAACGAGCGCAACCCUUGAUCUUAGUUGCCAGCAUUCAGUUGGGCACUCUAAGGUGACUGCCGGUGACAAACCGGAGGAAGGUGGGGAUGACGUCAAAUCAUCAUGCCCCUUAUGACCUGGGCUACACACGUGCUACAAUGGACAGAACAAAGGGCAGCGAAACCGCGAGGUUAAGCCAAUCCCACAAAUCUGUUCUCAGUUCGGAUCGCAGUCUGCAACUCGACUGCGUGAAGCUGGAAUCGCUAGUAAUCGCGGAUCAGCAUGCCCGGGUGAAAUACGUUCCCCGGGCCUUGUACACACCGCCCGUCACACCACGAGAGUUUGUAACACCCGAAGUCGGUGAGGUAACCUUUUAGGAGCCAGCCGCCGAAGGUGGGACAGAUGAUUGGGGUGAAUCUACAAGGGGAACCCCCAUAUAUAAAAACGGGG
This 986-nucleotide ribosomal RNA is filed under the name Bacillus subtilis. RNAcentral describes it as "bacterial SSU rRNA". It matches the Rfam family "Bacterial small subunit ribosomal RNA", at positions 532 to 1533 of the family's 1533-position model. Lineage: Bacteria; Bacillati; Bacillota; Bacilli; Caryophanales; Bacillaceae. The record is from RNAcentral.